This 1421-nucleotide ribosomal RNA is filed under the name Staphylococcus aureus. RNAcentral's name for it is "bacterial SSU rRNA". It matches the Rfam family "Bacterial small subunit ribosomal RNA". Lineage: Bacteria; Bacillati; Bacillota; Bacilli; Caryophanales; Staphylococcaceae. The record is from RNAcentral.
GUCGAGCGAACGGACGAGAAGCUUGCUUCUCUGAUGUUAGCGGCGGACGGGUGAGUAACACGUGGAUAACCUACCUAUAAGACUGGGAUAACUUCGGGAAACCGGAGCUAAUACCGGAUAAUAUUUUGAACCGCAUGGUUCAAAAGUGAAAGACGGUCUUGCUGUCACUUAUAGAUGGAUCCGCGCUGCAUUAGCUAGUUGGUAAGGUAACGGCUUACCAAGGCAACGAUGCAUAGCCGACCUGAGAGGGUGAUCGGCCACACUGGAACUGAGACACGGUCCAGACUCCUACGGGAGGCAGCAGUAGGGAAUCUUCCGCAAUGGGCGAAAGCCUGACGGAGCAACGCCGCGUGAGUGAUGAAGGUCUUCGGAUCGUAAAACUCUGUUAUUAGGGAAGAACAUAUGUGUAAGUAACUGUGCACAUCUUGACGGUACCUAAUCAGAAAGCCACGGCUAACUACGUGCCAGCAGCCGCGGUAAUACGUAGGUGGCAAGCGUUAUCCGGAAUUAUUGGGCGUAAAGCGCGCGUAGGCGGUUUUUUAAGUCUGAUGUGAAAGCCCACGGCUCAACCGUGGAGGGUCAUUGGAAACUGGAAAACUUGAGUGCAGAAGAGGAAAGUGGAAUUCCAUGUGUAGCGGUGAAAUGCGCAGAGAUAUGGAGGAACACCAGUGGCGAAGGCGACUUUCUGGUCUGUAACUGACGCUGAUGUGCGAAAGCGUGGGGAUCAAACAGGAUUAGAUACCCUGGUAGUCCACGCCGUAAACGAUGAGUGCUAAGUGUUAGGGGGUUUCCGCCCCUUAGUGCUGCAGCUAACGCAUUAAGCACUCCGCCUGGGGAGUACGACCGCAAGGUUGAAACUCAAAGGAAUUGACGGGGACCCGCACAAGCGGUGGAGCAUGUGGUUUAAUUCGAAGCAACGCGAAGAACCUUACCAAAUCUUGACAUCCUUUGACAACUCUAGAGAUAGAGCCUUCCCCUUCGGGGGACAAAGUGACAGGUGGUGCAUGGUUGUCGUCAGCUCGUGUCGUGAGAUGUUGGGUUAAGUCCCGCAACGAGCGCAACCCUUAAGCUUAGUUGCCAUCAUUAAGUUGGGCACUCUAAGUUGACUGCCGGUGACAAACCGGAGGAAGGUGGGGAUGACGUCAAAUCAUCAUGCCCCUUAUGAUUUGGGCUACACACGUGCUACAAUGGACAAUACAAAGGGCAGCGAAACCGCGAGGUCAAGCAAAUCCCAUAAAGUUGUUCUCAGUUCGGAUUGUAGUCUGCAACUCGACUACAUGAAGCUGGAAUCGCUAGUAAUCGUAGAUCAGCAUGCUACGGUGAAUACGUUCCCGGGUCUUGUACACACCGCCCGUCACACCACGAGAGUUUGUAACACCCGAAGCCGGUGGAGUAACCUUUUAGGAGCUAGCCGUCGAAGG